GGCCCCAUCGUCUAACGGUUAGGACGUCAGGUUCUCAACCUGGCAAUCCGGGUUCGAUUCCCGGUGGGGUCACCA
Molecule: transfer RNA, 75 nt
Filed under: Parcubacteria group bacterium
Lineage: Bacteria
Description: tRNA-Glu
Rfam family: tRNA
About the family: Transfer RNA (tRNA) molecules are approximately 80 nucleotides in length. Their secondary structure includes four short double-helical elements and three loops (D, anti-codon, and T loops).
Source: RNAcentral